CCUUUCCAGCUUUGUUCUUCCGGCCCUGCUGUCUGCCUCCCCGGCUGAUUGGAUUCGUUACUGCUUUGCAACGCGCACCUAACUCCAGGCUGGAAUGCAAUAGCGUGGUCUUGGCUCACUGCAACCUCCGCCUCCCGGGUUCAAGCAAUUCUCCUGCCUCAGCCUCCUAAGUAGCUGGGACUACAGCUUGAGGUCCUACCUGGUGUCCUCCAUGAGAAUCAUACAAGCCCCGCUACAGACAACAGAAUUGGAAGGUCCUGAGAGCUACCAGAAGCAUCUUCAGUUUUCAUAUGAAAAACUUAAGCCCAGGAGUGAUUUGUGCAGCCAAGGACACACAGCAAGUUAGUGGCUGCACCAGAAAUAGUACUCACUGCCUCAGACAGUCCCUCCCACAGUCUACUCUGUCUCCACCCCAAGGUCUGGUUCUGAAUCAUUCAGUUGUCAGUUGUCUCCUUUUUUUUUUUUUUUUUUGGAGACAGGGUCUCUCUCUGUGGCCCAGGCUGAAGUGCAGUGGUGUGAUUACAGCUCAUGUAGCCUGGACCUCCCAAGCUCAAGCAAUCCUCCUGCCUCUGCC
Molecule: long non-coding RNA, 574 nt
Filed under: Homo sapiens (human)
Lineage: Eukaryota; Metazoa; Chordata; Mammalia; Primates; Hominidae
Description: non-protein coding ASB16-AS1:5
Source: RNAcentral